Long non-coding RNA from Hylaeus anthracinus, 12552 nucleotides. RefSeq lists it as uncharacterized. The record is from RefSeq and is a predicted model, not a curated record. Lineage: Eukaryota; Metazoa; Arthropoda; Insecta; Hymenoptera; Colletidae. The transcript has 2 exons.
CCUUCUCGUUUAGCGGAUAUCACGAAUCACGACAAGGCGAGCGGAGAGAAAGCCACAGAAAUCGAGAGAGCGCGAAAGAAAGAGCUACGCGAACAAACGAACGAACGAACAAACGAACAAGAGCUUCUCGAAUGCGCGUUUCGUCGGAUCACGAUCAGACCUUAUCAUCGAGCAAGAUCGACGGAAAGAUAAAACGGCGGAUCAUUGUUCUCGUCGUUGUCGUUGUCGUUGUCGUUGCAUUGUCGUUGUCGUUGUCGUUGUCGUUGUCGUUGUCGAAAGAACCGACUCGAUUCUAUUUCAUCCUCCUCUGCGAAUCUCCUCUGAUACCGUACGUUUUCAUCGAGCCGCGGAGGAAUGAUGAAUGAAACAGGAGAAAAAAAAACAAAGCGCAGAUUUAAAAAAAAAUGAGGAAGAAAAAGGUACAUCGGACAAAAGACGCGAAAACACUGUUGCGCUACCAGGAAAAGAGGAUCGUAGGGAUUUCGGUUCCACUUUUUCUUCCUUUUUCCGUUGCGUCAAGAACAGGAAAGAAAACUCCGCGGAGUCCUUCGUGGAAGCGGAUUCCUCGCUCGACGAGAUUUACCUUUAUUAUAGGGAAAUUCCAAAAUAUUGGCCGAUCCGAGUCACCACUCUUCGGUUGAUAGACGAUCCGUUUGUCGAUCGUGUUACAUAACGUGCUGGAAUGGGAUCCCAAAUGAAGCAAUCGCAAAGCAGUGCAAAUGUAGUUGGUGGUAGAAGAUUUCACGCAUGAUAUUUAGCCCUGUAGAUGCAGCUAUUUAUCGUUAAGUUUGAUUAUUGUUUAAUUCACGGGCAUAUAACUCUUAAGUGGACGCAAAGUAACGCUGCAUCGAUAGCAUCGUGGAAUAAAUAGAUCGGACUGUUCUUCGUUGUUUGUUCUUCGUCUGACGGGGCAGUGAGCCUUGAUCGGCCAAUAUUCUGGAAUCUUACUUUAGUCUCCAUAGUCUAUUACUAUUACUUAUUUUUAAACCUAGGUCGCAAAAUCGAUCCUUCCCGCGACGCUUCCUAUUUCACACAUCCCGAAACUUUUCCCGCGAUCUUUUCUAGUCUUCCUUAAAUCCGAUAAUCUAAGAACAACAUCGUAGCCAACAAGCGUCUCGACAACGGAAAUAAUUCCGUUUUAAAGUAUACUCUACAAAAGAAUCGGCAAAAGUCGCUAAAUUUCUUUCGCGUAUUAUACUCUCAUUCGCAAACUCGCUCGGUUGUCCAUUGGAAUAAGCGUCCCCGUUUCUGUUUUGCGACCUCUUAUUACAAUUUUUAUUCCGCGUUCUUUUACCGUCAAUCCUCGUACACGAUCCGGAACGACUGAUUUCGUUUAGCACUUCCGUUAGCUUCUUGUUCACACGAACAGUCUUGUAUUCUUCCGCGCGAUCGCUGUUCAGACGAGUAAGAAGAGCAAAGAAAAGCCAAGUCCGAGUCGAAAGACUUGAAUUAACUUGUCAUUCGUAAAAUGCGCAACGACGCAAAUUCCAUCUAGACGAGUUCGACAGGAAGCCCGGGUGACAAAGAUGUUAACAUAACGAAUAACGAAUAACGAAGUUUUUAUACUCGUAUAUACUAAACAAAUUCCAUUUAUAUUUUGUUUCUAUAUCGAUAUAUCUACGGGUAUCUACGCGUAUACGUUUGGGCUGAUCGAUGAACGUACGCGCGUCGGCGUCGGUUGGAUGUCGAUUCAUCGAAUCGAUGGAGAGGAGAAACGAACGACAAAAAAGUUGAGAAACCAGGAUCGAUCGGGGAUCAGACGACGAAACGAUUCACACGUGCAUAAAUAUAUGUAUAAAUAAGUUCUUCCGUGGGGGGAACAAAGCCUUACGACAAGGUUUCCGGCGACUCUUUCAUUUUCGAUUAAACCGAUUUUUUCUUUUCACUCCAUUCAAGAAUGAAAACGCCGAAAAUCUACACGCUUUAGGCGCGUAAACGCUAUUUAAUUAUUAUCACUGCGAUAAAUGUAUAUGACAAAUAUAUAUGUGUACAUGUACACGUAUAAUAAGAAAUUAUAUUUAAUUAAAGUAAUAGGAUCUUUGAAAAGAAACAAAGCGUGCAAAAGGAGAAACCGCAAGAGACGUAUGGAAGAGAGAAACGCGAGUUGUAGGUUAGCGCGAAAAUCAUUGAGAACGAUCGGUGAAAGGGGAAAGGUCGCGCUGAACUCAUUUUUAUAUUAACUGGGACUCGCGAGACGAGUUCAACGAAAGUUGAUUCUUACUUUUUCGAUCGCGACUUUCCGUUUCCAAACUAUUUCUGAUUAGGUCGCGAUGGAACAGAAUUAAUUUGAUUUCGACUUUCCUGGUGCCGCGCGAAGGACCCCACCAUCGAUCCAGUCUUUCGUACGUUUUCACAGUUUUAUACUUGGAGUUCCUUUGUCUUUAUUGUAUUUUUUUUUUUUUUUUUAUCCUAAUGCAUUCAUUUUACUCUCUAUACCGUAUUCCAUGUAUUCGUAGUAUUUAAUUUCAUAUAUAUAUAUAUAUACAAAUACAUAAUUUUUUCCUGUAGCGUAACAAAAGGAUGAAAGUAGUCAGUGCAAUCGACACCGCGAACCUAGGAGUAACAAAAUACGUAGUUGCUAGUACCGUCGUAUACCUUUUUUUUUCGAUAAAUAAAAGAGAAAGGAAAAAAUAAAACGAACCACGACCGUCCAGGAAAGGCUUUCAUCUACUUUCCCGACCAAGCCGAUAAAAAGCGAGUCUCUUCGUUCGCUCGCUCGACCGUAACAAACGAGAAGACGCGUUUGUUGAGCUAGUCAUUUGCGAUGGGCCAGGGUCUUUUGCGCGCUCUCUCGCUUCUCGUACGCGCCAACGAGAACGACAAGUCGCGACGUUUGUUCCGGAUUGAUAUUAAUUGACACACCGAUUGUUUCAUCGAUUGACUCCGACGAUAGCGUUAAUUAUUUAAACGGAUAGGUAAUAACGAAGUACUCUAACGACAAACUAAGUAUAGGCUACGGUUACGAAAUAUCGAAUAAAUACAAAAAACAAAAUAUUAAACGAGUGAUUAAACGAAUAAGCAAGUAAAUGUUCCUGUACAGCAUUUAAGAAUCAAAGGUGACACACAUAUAUCGACGAUGCAUACAAAAUGAAAUGAAAUGGACAAAAAAAGAAAUGUAUACACCGUUUUUUCGUUUAUCGAUUAAUACCUCGGUUGUCUUUUUGGUAUUAGAGGGGAAAGAUUCGAAUGUUCGAUAUUGUAAAUUACUCGUGUACAUAAGGCUAGACUCGAGAUAGCAUUGGUCGGAAGAUGGAAGUAUCGAGAAUCUAAAUCGUCGUAGAUUCGAAAUUUGUUCGUCGAUCCGCGAGCGUGACACGAAGAACGUUUUUCUAUCGAAAAUUAGCGAAAUUCUAACAAAUAUGUACCACGUGUUUGUUUUAGUCACGAAUACGGGAUUGUGUAGUUUUUCUUUUUCGAUCAAAUUACGCGAUACGCAUUCGUUUUCAUCGUUUCUCGCAGGAAAGGUAGAGGCGCACGACUGCGUUCAGUAGCUAUGAAAAUGAACAAAACCGAAAAAAAAGUAAAACAGUAGACGGAAACGGAAGAAUACGGACGAGUUCCUCGUGCUCGCAACUAGCAUGUAUGUACAUACAUAUACAUAGCGUUUAGAUUUAACAAAAACAAGAGGUACACACGUUAUAUAUAUGGUGUAUGUAUAAAAGUAAGUACAAUAAUUAACGAAUGUCCAUUUAAGCGAUUCGGUAUAGCACCGAUGCGAAAACGACGACGAAACGUUUUCAAUUGCAAUUUUAUUCGUAGAGUGUAUUUUUUCGAACGUGUUUCCUUUGUACCGUAGAAUCUGAAGAUUUGUUCCGUUUACAUAUACGUAUAAAAUUGUACGAAAUACCGCGAGUGUGUGAUAUAUUCGAAUUCGUCCCAAUUGCUGCCAGUCUUUUAGCAAAGCUGUUUAUUUCGUUUUCGCGAGAUCGGAGUAACCGAGAACGAUGGUUUGCCAGCGUCUCGAAACACGAUGAAAGAGUAGAAGACAGAAAAGAGUUCUUAGAACGUCUCGUUUACGAAUAAAUUUCCAAUUAGAGAGAAAGCGAAUCGCGUUCGGUCGCGCAAUAGAAUUUCGAACGAACGAGAUCGAGUAGCGAGGCGAGACUCGUCUUUCCCUUCGAUACCAAACGUUCUAGUUAAACACACACCAAGUAUUAUAACUAAAUAAUGUUAAUUACGCCAGUACGGAAGGAGAGAAAGAGUAAAGAGGAGAGGAAAACCGUGACAGCCACGGACGCUGCUCCAUUGUCGCGAACAUUAAAACGAAAGCCGUUCUAAAAAAAAUGUGAAAAAGAUAUGCGUAUACGUAUAUAUGUGUGUAUAAAUACGUAUACGCAUAUGGAUGAGAUAAACAUGAACAAAAAAAAUAAUAAUAAUAUAUGAAACGAAAGAGAUAACGAAACACGAUGAAAAUAAUGCGACGAAUCCCACCGGAGUUUAAGCUUCCCCAACUUGAGUCAAGGGUUUUAGCUGCUGCAGCAAGCAAUCACAAAGCGGUAAAAAUUAUUUGUAAAUCAAGCAAAGAGUUCGGUCGCUUGAACGCCAUGUCGUCGUGCCUAGAGACAUCGUCGAAGAGAGGUGAAAAUCGAAACCUGUCUCGUUCGGCGACAAUGGGUUCAUACGACGAUUUAUAUAUGCUAUCGCUUCAAAGAGAAAAAGAAUAAUGCUGCUUCGCGUGGCCAACGAACGUCUCUGGUUCGCACGAAGAAUGUAGAUUUCGAGUGGACGGGUUGGCGUUAGCUGUGCUUCGUCUUUCGUUUGCCUUUGCAUUUCGAUUCGUCUUUUUGCUACAGAUGACAGAUCGAAAGAUCAUACGGUAGUUAACGUGAAUUCUAUCCUAACCAAGUUCAAGCUAUGCAUGGACAUUUACAACAGCUUUAUCUUAUUAGAUACAGUAGAUAGAGCAGCAGGUAUACCUGUUUCGAAAUUAGUCGCAAAAAUUGCUAGUAAAACUUGGCUACGAUGCCUGAUUAGGAUCCACUCGUUGCAAGGGGAACGCGAAUUUUCGAUACAACAUCGCAAGAAGCUGCGACUACAAUCGACGUUUAGUUAAAGAUACGGCAGUACGCGUAAUCGGUUGAAAAAUUCUUACAAAAAUGUCUAGUACGAUCUUACCAGUGAUACCAGUUGGAGUCUUCCAUUCGCAACUCUCGCUUGAAAACGUUAAAACGUACUUUGGUCCGACAACUUUGGACGUAGUCGCAGCAGACUACUUGGCUAGAUUUCCAAAGUGGAGAAUGUUUACGAGUAGAUCCUUUUCUCGUUCUCGUGCGUUCCAUCGUUCGGUUGGCCGAAAAUAUAUGCUCGCGUAUACCUACCUAGCUUCUUGCGCGCAAUGCAUUUUUGACUCUGCCGAGAGAACGAACGGAAAGGGUUGAGAGUGAGCGAACCCUCGCAGACGGAGAAAGGAAAGCGUUCAGGAUAGAAAGAACAAAAAGGACGAAAUUUCGAGAGGUCUCGUGCUCGCUCUGCAGAGAGACGGUUUCGAGUUUCGAGUUUCGCAAGCGCGGCCAUCGGCUAUUCGAACGAAAGCUAGGCCGGAUGUUUGGAUAUUUUGGUACGUUUAAUCGGAUUGUCUACCGUCGACUGAACCGAGCCCAUCCGAAAUUGCCGACACGAACGUCCGAUCGGAUUUGUUCGGAUAACCCGUCCACGGCUCGCGAUAGAACGCGCAUUGGUCAUCGUUGCCAUUACCCCGCGCCUGGUAAGCGUCGACCGAAUUGAAAGGACUCGCGGGGGAGUAAAGGGGCGCGAGAUACAAGAGCGGGACGACGAGACAGAAAAACGCGAUACGAAAACGGGAGCACGGAUAUACCGAAAAUAAUACACUAACAGACCGUCCACACCAGGGACAAGCUUGUCCGCUAACCGACGAAAAAACGAAUAAAUCCGCAACGGAGCGCAGCGACCGAUGGGAAUUUUGUUCAAGCUAAACGCGUAUAACUGUAAACUGUAAGGCGCAAGACGGUACGACGGGAUUCAGUUCUAGUUCAACAUGUAACCAGGCUAACCGUUGGCGGCGCGCACAUUCGAAUGACUUUCGGCUGGUCGCAGUCGAAGAGUGUCGCGAAGACGUCAACGUGUCUAAAUAACGUCGUGAACGAACCUCGAGCGUACAUGCUUCUCGAUACACUAGAAUAUACAUAACUCGUAAGUGGACCGUGUACGGUGAUAUCGUAACUAAAAGUCGGACAAGCCUCCUUGGUUGCAUACAACGCUAAGCUCGAUCGCGCUAGACGAAUAGUCGAUAGAGGUAGACGCGAGAACGAACGGGUUUAAGAUGAGUAACCGUGUAUCUCUGCAGAGCGAGAUUCUCCCGUUGCCCGAGGUGUGUUUUCCUCGUUGGAUGGAUAAAGAUCGACGGGAAAGGAAUAUCGACGAGAGAAGUAUGAGAACUUGAACGCGGUUCACGGAACACGAUUUAAAAUAACUGGAGUUUUCGUUAUACGUACACAUGUAUACACGUAGACCCAUACGCGCCCACGUAUGCACGGGGCACGUACUGUGCUUACACAGAUACACACACAGAUACACACACACACACACAGAGAGAGAGAGAGAGACGGACACACGAUAUGUAUUAUUCAUAUAUAAAAAUGAUAUAUAGAUGUAUUGUUCGGGCAGACGCUCCCUCAACGCUACGCGCGAUUCUUCAAGAGAGUUCCUUUUACUCAGAAUACUACUGUAUACACAGACAUUUUCCGGCAAAGAAACAGACGAUUUUCUCUCCAGACGACAUACGCAAAACACGACGAGACGAAAAGAAAAAUGAUUGUCGCGGUAGUUGUAGAAACGGAUGGCACGACGAUCCGUGGCGCGGAUCGUCGACGAAACGCGAACAGACCCGUUAUGCGUGUAUCUUUACAAUUUCAAAACCCGUAACCCGGAAAUCGUCUAGGUAAACGUUCCGAACGACUUUCUCUAGGUCAAGCAAAAGAAAAAAGAAUAAAACUAAAAGGCGUCCGACGUCGGUAGCUCGACGCCGGCCAUCGAAUAUUAACAUUUUUCGAACUAAGCUAACGAAGACUAAUAGUAUUUUUCGAGUUUAGAUUAUUAAACAUAGCGAUACAUGGUAGCGUACGUAACACGAUCUUAGCGGAUAGUAGACGAGAGAACUUUUACCAGUCGACUAAUCGUGCAUGUUAGUGUAUCCAGCCUACGCCUAGUAAGCUUCUCGUAGCGAUAGAGAAUUUUUAAUACCCCCUUUCUCCUUAUAAACACGGACGAGCAGAAACAGAAUUUGCCGUCUACGCGUAUACGGUUACCGAAGACACCACUCUCCGUUUCCACUAACCGAGGAUCCUGAACGGUCCAACACUCGUUCGGAUCUGCCUGUUUCGUUUACGUUCUCCCUGGGUUCCCGCUUCCUCUUGUACCCGCCACCCUCACAUCCCUCCCCGGACCCCUCGGCUUCUCCUUCUUGUCCCUUUACGAAAACCGCGACGAGAAAAAGAGUUAAACGCUUAGUAUUAAUAUAACUAUUAUUACAGAAAUGUGCUAUAUUCGUCUUCAGCUAUUUUGGUCGGUUAGAGCCAGGAGCAACACACGCCGUGUGCCUCUGCCGCUGGUCUAUCGACUCUUCGCCUCGCGUACGCUGUUGAUUGUAAGAUCCGACAAACGACAGAAUCUAUUCGAAAUACUUGUCACCGGUUGCUCCGCUGAAGAGAACUCUUUCAUUCGUACCCCGAUCGAGGAGCUCGAGAAAGCUCCGAACGUGACAGCAUUCGAUAAAAGUGAAUCGGAGCUGUCGUUUCUGAAUCGUUUCUAGAAAGGCGCUAGUAUUUUUCUAGUCUUAGUCUGAAAACGUCCGUCCUCGUUACGGAAAAACGUCUAUGUCUUGGCGACGGCGAAGCGUCUCAUCUGUCAAAGUAGGCGAAGACAACUAUGGUAAACAAUCGAGCAAACGAAAGAAAAAAAAACUAAAUAAAAAUGGUUUAGACGACGUAGAAUAUUUACCGGAAAUGGAAAAAUAAACAGAGAAAAAUCUCAUCGAACCGAUCGCUUCGCUCGAAUCCUUGCGAGCGCUUUAAGGCGAGAAUAAAUCCGAUUCCAUUUUUGCUCACCGGCGUGAACUCUUUCACGCCACGGACACCUGCACGCCUGCCUCGAAAACAAUUCAAACGCCAUCGUGUCGUGCUUAACCCUUUCGCUGUCUAUUUACAAGAGAUCCGAACAGUUUAGCGCGUUCACUCGCCCUUGACCCAUCGACGAAUCGCAACGGAACCUUGUCUCUACCCAGGAUACGAAAGUGAAUGCGUUAAAUUCUUAAAUCACGGUUACCGUUCGAUGACAUGUGUGUAUACGUCGUCCAUGGUAAAAGGGUUAACCGCGGCACAGAAGAAAGAUCGCAGAGGAGACGUCUAUCGAGAAAUUUCGAAAUUUCGAAGAAAGAAACGAAAACAUGGAGGAGACUCCCUCCUCACCUGUCCCUCUCCUUCAACUCCCACCCCGUUACAUAUUACCGAGACCCGAGACCCGAGACCCGAGACCCGUAACCCUUCCCCGGAUCUUCGUUACGAUUGAUACACUCGUUUGACCGAUCAACGCGGCAAACUUCUAACCCCCUCAGCUUGUUCUGGUCUUAGCGACACUUUAGAAAAGCGAACAAUUACCGUGAACUGAUUCAUCGACGGAGAGAUGUUUGAUCCCACGUGAACUACAAGACGUUAAAAUUCUUAUACACUAUUUAGGAAGUAGAAGCGUUUCCCGUUAUAUAACGACGGAUACAGUUAAACCUAUAAUCCUUAUUCCUUAAUCCAAUACUCGACGCUACGAACAAUUUGAAGCGCGCUCGUGGUUUCACCUCCCGCUUAUAAGUGAGCUGACGCGCCUCUCGCGAAACGCUUUUAUAGACCCUUUGUAAUCCACAAACACGUACACAAACAUGUCCACACACACGCGCGCGCGCGCGCGAGCGCCCACGCACAUCCACAUAAAGUUUGGCUACGUGUUCUUGGUCAUUCAUACGUAUACAAGCGCGCACGCCUGAGCUAUGCUAAGUGUAGAAUGUUACUACUAUACGUAUAUUUAUCGCCACGUGUCUAUACUCUUAGAGAUGUAGUCGAUCCCGCUUAGGAUAUUAACGACGUGCCACUUUUGCUGAACGCUAGUUUCGAUGCCCUCGUUUUGUAUCAGCGUCCCGAUUGUUCCUGCUGCGUCUAACAUGCUCUACGGCGUUGCCUUUGCGCAAAUAGCAAUUGGUGUAAUUAAUAAUUAAUCACGCGAUUGCAAAAUAAUAGCGAUAGUUAUACAGUAUUUAAUUGUUCUAAAUUGUUCCAACACGGUUUAAUCACAUACGAUACGGUACAGCAGCGAGAGUAAUCGGAGCGCUCGCGACUAGCGCAACGCGAGGGCACCUUCGUUUCAACACCUUUUUCUCUGGGUCACGCAUAUAUAUAUAUAUUGCCCACUAAAUGUUAGAGUAAUCCUUUUUCCGCGGUAUUAGCAACCGAUGCCUGUAGCCUCGUGAACAAACAAUUUCAGUGUAAUCAACUUACGUCGUUGUAUAGUUUGAAGAUGGCUUGAUCUCCUCUGUCCUAACCUCGCCCCUGUCAUGUCCUUCCGAUAUAAUAACACGGUCGCCCCCCUUGACUACAAGUUUUCUAAAGAGAAAAUUAUCGAACGAAAACCUAGAAAACCGAGAGCAAGAAGAAGCAAUCGAUAGAAGGAACGCGUAAAUUCGGUAUCGAUCCAUUGGGCAUCCGCGAGAUUUUAUUAAAACGACGCGAAAGAAAAACCGAAAACAGAAAAAAAAGAAGGUAAACGAAAAUUACGUAAUACUUUAAGGUCAUGGAUUUAUAAAGGUAUUUACAGUUUUACGAGUAAAGAGAAUCUUCUGUGGCAGCAUGAUAAACGGAAAAUUACUAGUUCGACAAACUUAAACUAACCGUACGUUGGGGACAAGACCGAAGGGUUCCCGGUGAGCGCUUCUGCAAGCAAGACUGUCCAUCCGUGAACCCUCCGGAAGCUUGCGUCUUCCGACAGUGAUGUAACUAUUAACAUGUAACCCCUUAACGUUAUAUUUUUCCGGUGGUAGCCCAAACGUUCACGGCGAACGCUGUCUCGAAACAAACGGAUCGGAUCUCGGAGUCCUCGGUCCCCGAAGACGACCAACUCGCCGAUACCAAGCAACGUUGACGCGUUCGACGUGAAUCCGAGGGCUGCACUAGCCACCGGCAGUUUGUGAUAUAUUUAGUAAAACAAAUUAAAAAAUAAAAAAAAUGGUUGUUAUUCAAAUUAAACGAAGAGAAAGAGAAGAAGAAGCGCCUAGCGGUUUUACAUCCACACAACCACACCAAAUGGAUUUGGUAAACGUGACGCGCGUACUGCUGAGAGAAGCGACACGUUUCACGCUGAAGAUAAAUCUUAUAGGGCAUUCCGUGGUGAAGAACGGACAGAGCGGUCGUUCGUUGAUGUUAUCGUCGUCGGAGAUGGGACAGUCGGAUUCUAUUAGCUCUGAACAAUUGCAAAUCGCAAAAUUCCAAGACAACCGAAAGGACAAACAUUCCGAGUAACGAUUAAACGGUCCGAAACUUUUUACAUUAAUUGUCAAUACGUUCCUAUUCGCCGUGUAUAGCGUGAAUAAAGUUUUGCCCAUCUCUGAUCGUCGCGAGGAAGAGCCAAAGACGAUCGGCGACCGUUUUGGGCUGUUUGGCGCGAUUUGUUGUCACGCGAAACGAAUUUUAUAACGAUGGAAAGCGCCGUUUAUAUCGAGACCUACUACCCCGCGAGAAUAGAAUAAUUUUAUACAACCGUUCAAAGAAUCGGGAAAACGCAAACUUCGAGCCGUCGCUUUGUACCGUGUAAGUCUUCUCUCAUCAUAGGUUUACCAGCGCUCUCAGCAGCAUCGAAUCGUCGAUUAAUAAACUAAUUGUAAAUUUUAGGUACUACCGCGCGUAAAAUAGGGAAAAAACAAACAUACAAACAAACAAACAAACGAACAAGCAAACAAACAAACAAACAAACAAACAAAAUGAACAAAACGAGAGUGAAAACAAGCGAUAAUGUAAGAGGCGUACACUAUCGCGGAGGUGAGGAGGAAAAUAAGAAUAAUAACGAAAAAAAAAGAAAAAAAAUGAUAAUACACAUAACAACACACACUAUAUAUAUAUUGUAAUAUUAUUUUUUGAACAUAGUAAUGUAAUGUAGAAUAUAAUAUAUGUAUUAUAUAUAUUAUAUAUAUAUAUAUUAUAUAUUAUAUAUAUAUAAUAUGAUACUGUAACGGUCAUUUCGUAUAGCGUGAAGGCUGGACGAAGUGUUUACGGAGGUUAAGAGAAUUAAUUAAGGUGGGCCAGAAGCGUCGGUGAGCCGAGUGGCGCGGGGUCCGCAAGCACAUAUUUUUACCAAGAUUUUUUCGAAUAUCGACUCACCCUCCACCCUCGAUUCCUCAUCUAACGAGAACUUGACAGAAAGAAAUGUACCCACGCGCCACCAUCGCUUCCGCGCCGAUUUUAUUAGCGUGCGGCCGCGGGAUCUGUCAUCGAACGAAUCGCAUUCGAUUGCUGUCGAGUUUUCGCAAAAGAAGAAAUCAUUCUUGUUCCGAACAAACGAUCUCGACCGUUCGACGACAGAGCCGCGGUAAAUUUUUUAAUUCGUCGAAUCGAAGAUUGAAACGAGGAAUAGAAAGCGUGCAACGAAUCGAUUUAUCGACGUUAACAAACAAAAUCAAGUUUCCCGUUCUACACGGAAUCUUUGCUCUUCGUGUUUCAAUCUUCGCGCUCGACGCUCGUGCGUAUCCUAAUUUUUCAAUGUCCACGAAAAGGACGAUGAGUCGAGCAGAAGCGUGUACAGUGGGGGUGGUUGGUCACUAUAAUACGAAUAAAAUGAGAAAAGGAAAGUCAGUCCCCUAUCCCGAUACCCCUGCCCCCUCGUCCAUCCCCUGGUUAACUCCCGAAUCCUUUUUGUCCUAUUUUUAUGCCCUACACAUUUAGAAGCUCCUCGAAUGUCGGCCCGAUAUUGGAAAUAAGAGUAAAAUGAAAAGAAAGAGUAAGAGAAACAGAAAAAGAGAGAGAGAGAGAGUGUGUGUGUGUGAUUAUUAAAUAAGGGUGCGUUUUUUCUAACUGUCAACAAAAUCGAGUUCAAAUUCGACGGCAACUUUUGUAAUACGCGAAGUUUCUAAUUCUAAGUUACGUUCAUACCGAAAACAUUCUCACUCGAAUACGUAUAGGUAUAUACGUGGUAUAUAUGUGUGUGUGUGUGUGGGUAUUUAUAUAUAUAUAUAUAUAUAUGUACACCUGUAUGUAUGUGUAUUCACACAUACAGAUAUGUAUAUCAUCAACCAUCGAACUCGCAAAUCGAAAUUCAUUACCUCGAACAGUUGACGAUAAAGGUAGACCUUUCUUUGUGUUUUUGUUGUUUUGUUUUUUUUUUUUUUUUCUAUGAAGUUGUUACAUUCGACGUUUUGUUAUACGAAUAUGCUGGCAUGUUGAAUUAUGGAUGGAGAACCAAGAACCUCGAACCUGGAUAAUUAUCUAUUUUUUGUGAGGCACAAUCUGCUCGUAACGGAUUAACAAAGUUGACUUGUUUCUCGACAAUGUUUUCACCUUGGUCGAA